Molecule: long non-coding RNA, 1065 nt
Organism: Canis lupus familiaris (dog)
Lineage: Eukaryota; Metazoa; Chordata; Mammalia; Carnivora; Canidae
Exons: 3
Source: RefSeq, a predicted model, not a curated record
UUCUACACAUAGAACUAAUUUUAGAAAAAUGUAUUUUUUAAAGUUAGCCUACUGAGAAGGGCUCCAAAAAUACCUGAUUCAAUUGAAUACAGCACUUCUGCAUUCUUCCCCUUGUCCUUGUCCAGAGCUGUAACCUGCAACACCACUGAGCCAACUGCCGCUGAUUCAUAAACCCGCCCUUCGUAGGAGGAACUCGUGAACCAGGGGGCAUGGUCAUUGGUGUCACUGACGUUAACAACAAUCCGGGCAAAGUUGCGCUUUACCGGGACAUCUUGAUCCCGCACCUGAAAGAAUCAGGCUCCACAGGAGAGAGAUUCUAGAGUACUCGGGUAAUAAGACAGACUACUUGAGCAGGAUUUACAGAAGAUAAUUUCCUAUGUCAGAUCUGAAUCUGCAACGACCAAGCUAGCAAGGUCAGUCUGGGCCUUGUAACCACUCUCUGAUCCUCGCUCGACCCGCCCAGCCAGCAUUUCAUCAGAAUAUCUUCAAGACCCUCUGAAAAUGACUCAAAAUAAGUUACAGAAGUAUAAAUGAAGCACUAAAACUUAAGAUAUUCUGUGUUCCUGGAAAGACUGUAGUCGAUUUCCUGGGUUUUUCAGGAAAUUUUAGUCAACCACAUUUGACUACCACAUUUCAUACUAAGCUUUUAACUGUACUAGCUAAAACUACAAUUACUGGGCAAGGGAAACAGUGCUACUGAUUCAUUUAGUGAUAAGCAAUAAAUGCUAUGGGUAAAUAUAUCAUCUUCAUUAAUGAGAAUGCGCAGCACAGAGGGCCACUGCUUAUUAAGUCCCUUUUGCUAUAUUUCUGGUUAGUAAUUUACUUGAACUGGUCCACAUACAGCUAUACCUUUAAAACUUUCAAAUUUUAUCCUGUUAAAUGUAUUAUAACUCUUGAUGUUUUUAUUCUCAUUUUCAUGUUCUAAAGUCUAGCUUCUACAAUGAGAACAGUUCCCAACAAAAAUGAAAAUUUAAUACUGUACUAAAACUUGUACGUGACAAUCUCAAAAUGACCCCAAAGCAUGGUAACAUGUCAAUUUUAAAUCCCCUAAGAAUCAAAAGUGUG